CCCUAUGGGGUGCAGCAGGCGAGAAAACUUUGCAAUGUGCGAAAGCACGACAAGGUUAAUCCGAGUGAUUUCUGCUAAAGGAAUCUUUUGUCAGUCCUAAAAACACUGAUGAAUAAGGGGUGGGCAAGUUCUGGUGUCAGCCGCCGCGGUAAAACCAGCACCUCAAGUGGUCAGGAUGAUUAUUGGGCCUAAAGCAUCCGUAGCCGGCUCUGUAAGUUUUCGGUUAAAUCCAUAUGCUCAACAUCUGGGCUGCCGGGAAUACUGCAGAGCUAGGGAGUGGGAGAGGUAGACGGUACUCGGUAGGAAGGGGUAAAAUCCUUUGAUCUAUUGAUGACCACCUGUGGCGAAGGCGGUCUACCAGAACACGUCCGACGGUGAGGGAUGAAAGCUGGGGGAGCAAACCGGAUUAGAUACCCGGGUAGUCCCAGCUGUAAACUAUGCAAACUCAGUGAUGCACUGGCUUGUGGCCAGUGCAGUGCUGCAGGGAAGCCGUUAAGUUUGCCGCCUGGGAAGUACGUACGCAAGUAUGAAACUUAAAGGAAUUGGCGGGGGAGCACCACAAGGGGUGAAGCCUGCGGUUCAAUUGGAGUCAACGCCAGAAAUCUUACCCGGAGAGACAGCAGAAUGAAGGUCAAGCUGAAGACUUUACCAGACAAGCUGAGAGGAAGUGCAUGGCCAA
RNAcentral lists this ribosomal RNA (679 nucleotides) under uncultured marine group I thaumarchaeote. Its description in RNAcentral is "bacterial SSU rRNA". It matches the Rfam family "Archaeal small subunit ribosomal RNA", at positions 321 to 1001 of the family's 1478-position model. Lineage: Archaea; Thermoproteati; Nitrososphaerota. The record is from RNAcentral.